GACGAACGCUGGCGGCGUGCUUAACACAUGCAAGUCGAACGGAAAGGCCCUGCUUUUGUGGGGUGCUCGAGUGGCGAACGGGUGAGUAACACGUGAGUAACCUGCCCUUGACUUUGGGAUAACUUCAGGAAACUGGGGCUAAUACCGGAUAGGAGCUCCUGCUGCAUGGUGGGGGUUGGAAAGUUUCGGCGGUUGGGGAUGGACUCGCGGCUUAUCAGCGUGUUGGUGGGGUAGUGGCUUACCAAGGCUUUGACGGGUAGCCGGCCUGAGAGGGUGACGGGCCACAUUCGGACGGAGAUACGGCCCGGACUCAUACGGGAGGCAGCAGGGGGGAAUGUUGCACGAAGGGCGGAAGCCUGAUGCAGCAACGCCGGGUGCGGGAUGACGGCAUUCGGGUUGUAAACAGCUUUCGCCUGUGACGAAGCGUGAGUGACGGUAAUGGGUAAAGAAGCACCGGCUAACUACGU
RNAcentral lists this ribosomal RNA (467 nucleotides) under uncultured bacterium. RNAcentral describes it as "partial 16S ribosomal RNA". It matches the Rfam family "Bacterial small subunit ribosomal RNA", at positions 28 to 506 of the family's 1533-position model. The record is from RNAcentral.